This 347-nucleotide ribosomal RNA is filed under the name uncultured bacterium. Its description in RNAcentral is "partial 16S ribosomal RNA". It matches the Rfam family "Bacterial small subunit ribosomal RNA", at positions 338 to 683 of the family's 1533-position model. The record is from RNAcentral.
CCUACGGGUGGCAGCAGUGAGGAAUAUUGGUCAAUGGGCGGGAGCCUGAACCAGCCAAGUCGCGUGAGGGACGACGGUCCUAUGGAUUGUCAACCUCUUUUGUCGGGGAACAAAGGCGCCCACGGGUGGGCGGAUGAGUGUACCCGAAGAAAAAGCAUCGGCUAACUCCGUGCCAGCAGCCGCGGUAAUACGGAGGAUGCGAGCGUUAUCCGGAUUUAUUGGGGUUAAAGGGUGCGUAGGCGGACAGUCAAGUCAGCGGUAAAAAUGCGGUGCUCAACGCCGUACAGCCGUUGAAACUGGGGGGGGGGAGGGGGCGAGAGGGAUGGGGGAUGCGGGGGGUAGGGGGG